GUGCCUAACACAUGCAAGUCGAACGGAGUUCUUUAGGAAUGCGACUUCGGUCGAAUGACUUUUGAACUUAGUGGCGGACGGGUGAGUAACGCGUGAGCAACCUGCCUUUCAGAGGGGGAUAACAUUUGGAAACAGAUGCUAAUACCGCAUAAGAUUACAGUACCGCAUGAUACAGUGAUCAAAGGAGCAAUCCGCUGAAAGAUGGGCUCGCGUCCGAUUAGAUAGUUGGUGAGGUAACGGCUCACCAAGUCGACGAUCGGUAGCCGGACUGAGAGGUUGAACGGCCACAUUGGGACUGAGACACGGCCCAGACUCCUACGGGAGGCAGCAGUGGGGAAUAUUGCACAAUGGGCGAAAGCCUGAUGCAGCAACGCCGCGUGAGGGAAGACGGUUUUCGGAUUGUAAACCUCUGUUUUCGGUGACGAACAAAUGACGGUAACCGAGUAGGAAGCCACGGCUAACUACGUGCCAGCAGCCGCGGUAAUACGUAGGCGGCAAGCGUUAUCCGGAAUUACUGGGUGUAAAGGGAGCGCAGGCGGGAUAGCAAGUCAGCUGUGAAAACUAUGGGCUCAACCCAUAAACUGCAGUUGAAACUGUUAUUCUUGAGUGGAGUAGAGGCAAGCGGAAUUCCGAGUGUAGCGGUGAAAUGCGUAGAUAUUCGGAGGAACACCAGUGGCGAAGGCGGCUUGCUGGGCUCUAACUGACGCUGAGGCUCGAAAGUGUGGGGAGCAAACAGGAUUAGAUACCCUGGUAGUCCACACUGUAAACGAUGAUUGCUAGGUGUGGGGGGUCUGACCCCCUCCGUGCCGGAGUUAACGCAAUAAGCAAUCCACCUGGGGAGUACGGCCGCAAGGUUGAAACUCAAAUGAAUUGACGG
RNAcentral lists this ribosomal RNA (877 nucleotides) under uncultured bacterium. Its description in RNAcentral is "bacterial SSU rRNA". It matches the Rfam family "Bacterial small subunit ribosomal RNA", at positions 44 to 916 of the family's 1533-position model. The record is from RNAcentral.